Non-coding RNA from Xyrichtys novacula (pearly razorfish), 23789 nucleotides. The record is from the annotation of a GenBank genome assembly. Lineage: Eukaryota; Metazoa; Chordata; Actinopteri; Labriformes; Labridae.
UUUCUGUUUUUGCUGAAAGACAACAGCUGCUUGGUUUAUCAGAAGUUGAUACUGUUUCAGAAUUACUACACAUUUGACUCUGCAUAUUUGGAAAUGUUCACUGUAACGCUUCUUUGUUUGCCAAACAUAUAAAUACUGACAUUUAGUUUUUACUUAUGUUUGUUCAGAUUAAAGGGAUAUUCUGUUGUAAAUUUAAAUUAUGGUCAAACACACUAACACCGAGUUAGACAACCCCUUGAGAGAUGAAUGUUGCUGACUGCAUGUUUCUCUAGUCAUACCAACUCGAUCACAGAGUGCCGUGGAUCAUUUCCAUUAAGGAAUAAUCAUCAUAAUAAUUAUUUGCACUGCAGACACUGUAGUUCUUCUGCCUCAGUGUCUCGGUCUGAUUGCAUUUCCAUUAAGUAAUAAUCAUACAUUUCCUUCCUUGAGCUGCGAAACUCCGCUGCACUUGGUGAUCGACUUAUCAGGGCUCCCCCACAUAUGCUGAAGGAGAGUGGGUGAAAUGCGUUUGGUCCCUUUGCUAAAGAAGCCAGGCAAAGCUGAAAAGAUGUUUGAUGAGCUCCUCCCCUCCCUUUCUUGUGCAUACAUGAGAGCCAAAGCAGCAGCAAAAUAAAUACGAUUAAGAUAAAUAAAUCAAAAAUCCCCCAAAACAACUAUACAAUGCCCGGCUAUAAGAGGGGGGAGCUCCUGCCCUCCCUUUUCAUGUGCAUGCAUACAUGAAAGCCAAGGCAGCAGCAAAUAAAUACGAUUAACAUAAAUAAAUCAAAAGCCCCCCAGAACAACCAUACCAGGCAACCCUCCCUAGCUUCAUGAGCUACAUGAAAGCACCUACAGGGGAGGGAGAGCAGCAGCCAGCAGCAAGAAACAAUGAAGCAACCUACCCACCUCCAAAGCUUGUGUAGUAUAGGGUACCCUCAAACAUGAUCAUGGAACAGGAUUAAUUUCGUCCAUACACAUAUUUAUAAUUGGGAAUAUGCUUAAGAAUACAAUAUAUAUGGGACAGAGUUAUGGCACAGCAGCAUUUUUCUGGUAAUGGUGGUCUGAGUCCCUGUGAGUGCACUUCAGCAGUGUAAUGGACCAGCAAGAGAGUCUUUUUGUCUUAUAGAAGCAGCCCGUUGGAGAUACGCUUAAGAAUACAAUAUAUAUGGGACAAAAUUAUGGCGCAGCAGCAUUUUUCAAAGUACUUAUAGCUAAUUGAGUAUAAGCGUUUCUUGAGCCUCAGGCCUGAGGUAUUAUUCAUAGGCUGAUGAGGACCAUUGACCCGUAGGCUUGAACGUUGAGACAGGGACAAUGGAGGAUGCCAUUGCAGCUGCAUCUAUGCGUAGAGUCGCGCUCAAGUGGGAGCAAGCAGGAUUGGCAGAGGUGAGCAGAAACCAUGAUCUGGAUAUAGGUUUCCCUUCUUGGGUGGCAGAGAGAGACUCUUGCUAGCUGGCCAGUGGCUGGCCUCUCAGGCAGCGGGACAUGGAGGACAAAGGACAAAGUCAGAGUUUGUUCGAGAAAUGAAUAAAUACGAAUAGAUUCGAAAAAAUGAAUAGGGUUUUCAAGCAGACUGGUGGUGGAUGGUUCAGACAGCACAUAUGGAACUGAAUAUCUGCUACAAGUCCUUUAAUUUUUGCGAGAUUCAAAACAGUGGACUAUUAAUGCACAUGCAAUUGAUAUAUUUACAGCAUUGGAGCUUCAGAGAAGGUGGUGCAAAAGAGGUGAAGUGAGACCAUGCAGAAUCAUAUUAACUUAAAUGCUGAUUUUGCUUAACCAGCUCUUGUAUAGCAGGCCGCAGAAAGCACAGAAGUUUGCAAGACUGUGCUCAGACUAACACAGUCUCAAUGAAUGGGGAACAGGUCAGGCUGGAUGGCGCUGACUCCGGGCACAGCUGGCAGAGUUUUUGUAGUUCGAAUUGGGACAGGAAUCAGUAUUUUGGUUAUCCUAGCCUGGAAUAUGGACUGCUCAAAUAAUGAAAAUUACCCAAGACAGGUAAGGUGCCUCAUAAAACUAUUAGUAAAUGGAACUGAAGAGUGCCCUUGUUAAUGAUAUUAACAGUUGCCUCAUUGUCACGAAAAGAAAAUCUGUUUCCUGGACCAAUGUUUACCCCAUAGGAGGCCAGAGAUGACAACUGGAUACAGGAGGAGAGCAGUUAAAGACAUGUUUUUUGGCAGAGAAGACAGUUCAUUUGGCCAAAUAUAAGCAACCAUUGAUUAUUAAAACCCCGUAAACCAACAGAUGGUGCUGUGACUGUAAAUAGCUGAGAUCGCGGGAGAAUAUUCCGGAUAGUCACUAUAAGAGAAUGAGAUGCCUUUCCAUUUUUACAUAGAAGUGACAAAACUGCAGCUUGGAUCUGCAACCUUUAUCUAAGCUUACUUUAUCAUGAAGUUGCUCAACUGAUUUGGCGAGGUUGAGAAGUGUAGAUAUAAAGGACCGUCCUUGAGGCAUGACACGCAUGGCAAAUUAAUAUGCCCAAGCAAAGAGAGCUCUUUUCGGUAGAUGUACUGCCUCUUGAGCAUGUCACGUUACUUCUCUACUUAGAUGCUUUUUCCGCGAGUAUUUAUGCGUAGCUAUGCCUAAAGGAUUAAUGCUGGUAAUUGAAAGGGUGACUUAGCAUAGCGGCCAAACGUGAAUCCUUUCUUAACCCCCUUUCCAUCAACUAUUUCAGGAUCUUUCAUUGCAGAUUGGAAAUUAAUUUUUACAAACAAACGACACUUUUGGCAGAUAGACCAAACCUGCUAGGAACCCCUGAACCAGUCCUGUUAUCAAAUAAUGCACAACAGCAGUUGGGAUGCUUUACCAGUGCCUUCCCCAGCUCAGGGAUAUUUGACAGAGUAGACAGCUUUAUUCUCCUUUUUUACAAGGCGGGUGCAUCUUGGGCGUGGUGCUUUUUUAGAUAACCGUCCCUGCAGUAACUUGGCCUUGCUGAGUUGUAGGCUUAGAAGAAGCUUGUUGGUUGGCCUGUAGCCACAGUUUUAGGGCACAGAUUGGAGGUGUGAGCAGGGGAUAUUAUAAGAUAAGGUUCUUGCAUGUACUGAACCGUAGGCUUUGAACAAGAUGAGUAUACCCACGUUUAGCGGGGAGCUGACUCUGAUGCCACAGUAUCAUCAUCUGCUGCAACUCUCUAUUGAACAUAAAUCUGUUGAUCUAUUUAUUUAUCAUUUUGACUUAUUUCUGCAUUUAAGAUUGAAGCAGCUGUCUCUUUAAAGUUCCCUCCUUCUGCAAAAGGCGGGAGGCGGGCCCCAGCGCCUAGGCAACUAGUGUCCAAUCAAAAGUGCGCCUUGAGCUUCCAUUUCUUGAGUUUAUAAGUGGAAGCAAAUAUGACUCACUCUCAAGGAGCCUGGUCCUAUUGGAUUUCUAUGGUUUCAAUGCAGAGUGCAGACUGACGUGCGGCAACACACUAAGCAAAUGUAGCCCACUUACACUACAGGGGUUAAGGUUUACCACUGUGUACCGGCUGUAAACUGCUUAUUAUGACUUGGCGUACCACUGCAUACCAGCUUACUGGCUUACUUUCACCCUUGGGUGUGAGAUAGACCCCCAGAUUGAGCAGGAAAAAGCUUGAUGCUUGGUAAAAUGUCUACUGAUUAGAGCCAGGUCGACUAUAGACUAAUCAAGUCUUUGGUUGAAUCUUUGAAUGUACAUAGCAGUUUUGCUGAAAAUGAUUUGUGAUGUCACUAGAAUAAUAUCCUUCCAUUAGUCAUGGCUGAAUCAGAAAUAAUGGCGAUAUAUGUGUCCAGUUCAGUUCUGCGUGCUGAAAAUACUUCACAUAUGACAUUUCCAAAUACCCCGAAAGCUAAAUGAAUUUAGCUAAGGUCAGAGAUUUAAACAGCCGAGCAUCACCAUAUUUGAGCAUCACAGACUCGUCUUCGCAAUCCACAAUGCGUCUAUCGUUGUAGUCAGAGCACAGCAAGAUUUUUUACAAGACUGACAUCAGUACCUGUGAGGAUUUGGCUCUGCAGAUUAGGUGUAAUUGCAGCUGCAGGAAGGAAGAAUGGGACGCCGGUGGAGACGGGGACUGCACUUCCCAGGGUCCUUCGCGGGAUGGUGACACCGUCGUCGGUUGUCGCUCGAGUGACGUCAUCGUUCAGCGCGGUGAAUGCAGGUGACAGAUGGGAUGAAGGAAGACAGCUUAGCACGUGCCGAACCAGAUUCUGAGGCUUCGAUCCUUGAAGACGUGGGUGAGCGAUGGCUGGAUGCUGGAUAGUGCGUUCAGGAUGGGAUUGUCGUCCAGGUCUGCAGGUUUGAUAGCUGGGUUUGGGCCUCACGCUCUGCGGAUGAAGGCGAUGGUGCGGCAGCUAAAGCUGGAACUGCUGUGACACUGCGGGAACAGUGUUUUCUUUUCUCUGUCUCUUUUCUGGAUACAGAGGAGGAAGAGAGAACUGCAAGUGGAGGAUCUAUGUGGGUAUUUUCCAUAAACAAGGUGAAAGCUCUUGAUAUGAGACACCUCAAGAGCUUGUGUGGAAGGGAACGCGGCUGACAUUGCAGGGACUGGCUUCCUCCACCGACCUUACAUGCUGCGUUUCAGAAAGCAGUCAGUCUGCCAUGAUCCUUGUCGUGGGCAGGGAUCAACAUGAUGAAGAGCAAGGUAGGAAAAGCAAGAACGCAGAUCUGAGUGUUCUCAUGAGUGGGAGCAUGCAGAGCGCAUGCAGCCUUGAGGAGUGGAUGCAGUCUUGCAGAGUGGUUGCAGCAGGCAGAGUAGGCAGGCGAAGCAGUUUAAAUAGGGUGCCAUUUUUAAACUAGCAAACAGGAUGUGAAGAGGGUGAUUACCUGAGCUGUCAGUUGACUGAGGGCUGGACCCUUUAGCUUGACUCCGUGACCUACCUGAACUACCACUAUGCCACAAUAUCCCUUUAAGUGACGGCUCUUUUUUUUUUUCCAGAAAUUAUUUUUUCAGUCAAAUUUCUUUUUAUUGUAAGCAUUUUUUCUGUCCAAAAAAAAAGGAAUAUGGUUUUAAAAUGCCUGCUUAAAGUCUGUUGUCUUGCUCUUGCUCUUUUUCCAUGACUGAUCUGACAAAAAGGGAUUAAAUAUAAAAUAUAAAUAUAAAGCUCAAUUUUUCCAUCCUCCUCUUCAUCCUUUGUUUUCACAUAAGUCAGACUGUAUAUUUAUCAUAAACUCCAAACAAAAGUGUUGUAUUGUCUAAGAACACCCAACUUCUUCCUCUUUUUCGUCAUGUCUCCGUCCUGUCAGUCAGCACUCAGGGGACAGUUUGACCACACAUCACAUACAGACUUCUUUCUCUCUCACUCUUGUCCCUUUAAGCAGGAGUAGUCCUGCAGUCUAAUGAGCUUUACUCAUACACUGUAGCUCAGCUCAACACACGGCUUCACACAGAGCCAUCCAAGUUCACAGGCAUUUACCCAGAAUGGCUCAAAAGACAGGAAAGAAAAGGAAAAAAAAAACAGAAACAAAGAAAGUCUGAGAUGACUCUCCUGGUUAAUUGUCCAUUGCCCUGGGACUCUGGCUUAACCCAUGGCUCAUUAGCCAUGAGUUUGAACCUCCAGUGACAGGCGCGCACGCGCGCACACACACACACACACACACACACACACACACACACACACAUGCAGAUGAUUGUUACAUUUUAUCCCCUAUCUGCAGCUUUUUACAAAGUCAUUUAUGUAAUUAAAUAUUACCAGUUGUUGUUUUAUCGCUCAGUGAUUAAACCCGGUGGCUGAAGUACUAAACCCAGUGAAGAAAAAAAUCACAGAUGCCAGUGAGGAAAUUAACUUAUGUCUCAGUGAAAUGAAAAUGACUCUGUGUGAGGUUUCAAUGGGUCAUUACAGACUAAAUGAGUAUCCUUUGGUGACAAUUUUACAUUUAACUUCACAAUAGCUCUGUAACAAAUAUGGAAGAGGGAGAGAGAGAACCGUAGAAAAUCACAGUGGCUGACUUUCUGUCUUUUACAAACCUGAUGUUGAUGGAAUGUUGCAAACCCUGAAUAUGUUAAAAUAACAGCAAAGGGGCUGUUAGUUUGAUUUCCAUUGUAAGCGAACUGUCACUCCCCCUCCGUCCUGACAUUUUCUUUUUAACAUUAUUUGUGUUCAAGGACUGAACUAUGCAAAGGCAUUUAGAUUAUUUGGAUCCAUUCAGGAAGUAUGUAACUGUUUACUUAUUCAAUCAAUCAAUCUGGUGAUACUAUUCUUCUAACUUGUUGGAGAUGGCAUGAAAAAAUACAUAGCAGCAGCUUGGUUUCAGUGCAAAUACGCAGGACACAACUUUCUUGGAACAAUGAAGAAGUUAUGGUUGGGGAGUGACAGGUAUGGCCAACAAGUAUGUCAACAAGUAUAGUUCUGAAAAUGUGAGUGGUUGGUAACCAUCCAGGCUAAACGGGUAGGAAACACAAAACCAACUAUAAUUUAAAGUGUAUUUAUGUUUUUGGGCUUAGCCUUUUUCACAGUAAAUUUAAUACCACUGUGAAGAGUUUUAUAUGCUUCUGAAACACACUGCAAUUAAUAGCGGUGCUACUAGUUUAUCAACAGUACACAAAGGAAACAGCCUGUUUUCAGUCUUUCAAUUUAUCAAUCAAGCUUGAUUUAUUUAGCACUUUUCAUACAAGUCAAAUGCAAUCCAAAGUGCUUCACAAUGAUUGGAAACAAAUAAGCUAAGAGUGAAAAUACAAAUGAAAUAAAUGACAGAAAAUGGAACAAUUAAAUGGAAAAAAAAAAGAAAAACUGGAUAGGUAGAGACUCAUGCACACCAAAAGCAGUCAAGUAUGUGUCAUGAACACAAUAAAGGGGAUAAAAAUACAAAAGGUUUGGUGUGUCACUUUGUCCACUAGGGGUGCAAAAAUAAAUACAAACAAAUGGUUCCUUAAAGAAGCUUAAAGCCAAAAUGGGAGAAGGUCUGCUCGGAUGGAACAGUGAUGCUUUUUGACAAAAAUAUGUUAAUUCUUUUAUUUGUCAGGGCAUCUGAGGACUGUAAGGUAAAUGUAGAGUUCUUGAGGUGUUACAAAUACGUACGCAGUGACUACUUUUAUGUGAUAUUGUCCAUUAAAACAGCUCUACUAUUUCCUUAGCUUUAGUCAUAUAUCAUUGUAUGACUCAUGACAUCUUAUUAUAUCUUACCUUUUAAGUUUCCUUUAAACUGCUAGAGUGUAUGAGGAGCGUGGGAUUAUCAUGGAUCCUGUCCUUAUUGAAUGGAGCUCAACAAAAGAGGUGUUCUAAAUACAAUGGUCUCCAGUUUUACACUUGCACUGAGACAACCUGGAUGAUAAAAUAUAAUAACCCCAACACUUACCUGACUGUGUCAAUCAAAAUGUACAAGAUAACAGCAAAAUUCAGGGUACAGGUGCUGUAUUACAGUAUACUGUAAAAGUUUAUUGAUAAAAAAAGGCCAAAUGCACUAUUGCUUUAAUAUUUAAGUAAUACUCAGUAAAAUAUGUGCUACUGAAAUACAUAUUUUGUUAUUCAUAUUCUGGCUCAGCAAGAGUGAGAGCGGGGCAAAUGGAAAUGUGGAAAUGUUCAUUCACUUCAGCUUUUAUCAAGAACUACAAGUUAUCUUGCCAGAUAGGAUGAAAAGAUGCUGAAUCAAACCACAAAUCCUUCUUCUAACUGGCAGUUCUAUCGAUACAACACCCUGAAAGGCCGAAUUAUUGAAAUACAAGGUCAAAAAUCUUUAUAUGUCAAUGCGAAGUAUCAGAAGAGAAGUCAGUACUCAGCUUCUCUCAGUGAUCCAGUCCAAAGGUCAAUUGGCCUUUGAUGCUUGGUAACAAGCAAAUGCUGACCUCCUAUUUACUGUGUGCGCUCUCUUCGAGGACCUGACUGAGCCUUUGACAAAGCUUUCAAAAGGCUGUCUGAAUAGUGAAUGAUAGCAGCUGAAGAUGUCUUUCAUUAGGAAAAAAAACACUUCUUUCCCACUUCUACUCAUGCAGGGUCACAGAUUUAUUUUUCUAGUGUGUGUUUGAAUAAAAACAAAAGACUAAAAGAAGUACAGGAAGAAUUCCUGUUACCCUUGAUGAAGGAUAGUGGUUUUAUUUUCUCAGCUGCUCAAAUCAAACUCAGGCUGACAGCUACACACGGGAGAGAAGAAAUUUCUUUACUCCGACAAGUACAGAACAAUGGCUGGUCUUAACUUAAGGUUGUAAGGUCUUGAAUUACUACUAUUUUUUUUUCUCAGAUCAAGUUGAGUUUUGCUGUAAAAAACAAAACAAAAAAAAUGUGGUUUCAAUAUAAUCAAGUGUUAUUUUCCAUUACAGAUAUCCAAGCUUUGACCCUGGUGCCCCACUCUGCAGGCCAGAGUCCGAGAAGUAGAGAGGACGAUCGCGGACCAAGUGUGUGGGGCAGCAGAUUGCAAUGCUCACAAGAAAGCUAAUUAUGAAAGUUGCUUUCAUCAUGUCCCCAAAGACAUUAGUGUCUGAGAGCUGAAUAGCUCAUAUGUUACCUGCCACUAAAACAACUGGCAAUGUUAGGCUGCAAACUAGCAUGAAGAGAAGUGUACAGAGCAGCGCUGUCUCCACCCACGACUCAGAGGUGAAUUGCUAAUGAGCUACUGGAGCUCUGCAAAAAAAAAAAAAAGCCCAUGAAAAUGACACAGGUAAAGUGGCUAAAAACUUCAUACUCACAACUUAAAGACCACUGAUAAGACUUUAAGUAGGAAACAAAAAUGAUCGGAGUGGGACUUCAGGAGACAUGUUUUUAUUAGGCAUGUCAAGAGUGCAGGUCAUAAAAAAUGACCUUCAACUUGGAGUUUCAUAUCACUUCUAUAAUUAGACUUGAUAAAACUUGAUGAAAGACUUUUUUCAGCUAAAGAACUGAACGUCAUGUUAGCUCAGCUCGCAGCCCCAAAACCCCAGCUUAAGCGCUUGAGACUGUGUUGUCUAGAGUGUCAGAUAUAGUUUAUAUUUAUAUACAGUAUUUUUAUUUUCCAUUUUAUUUACUUGUGAGCUAAUGUUUUCUUUUUUUGUUUUCUUGUAAUGACAACAGCAUUUCAGGUCUGAUUCUGAUAAAAGUCACAUAGAGUCUGACCUUUUCAAAUUUAGAUUUGUACCAUUAACAUUAGGGAUCCAGUAACCCGAUUUUGAAAUUGCAGUCUGGACAUCAGGAUGGGUGGAAGUGGGUGUCAGUCAAUGACAGCAAACACUGAAAACAGCUGCAACAGUGGUAGUCAGACAAGGGACAGAGAGGUGUUAGAUUGCACAACAAUGAAAGCCUCCACAUUGACAUAGCAGCUAUUUUUCCACAGAAAGCCAUCAUCCAAAUUUUGACUCGCUUUCUUCUGUCCCUCCUCCUCACUUUUACUUUUCUGGCUUCCACCACACAACAAUUACUCCAGUGGCCACCUUGUAUCAUAAUCACUGUGCCUGCAUUUGAGGUCUUAGUCAUAGUUCUUUUGAGCAUGUGGGACAGUUUAUGCACAGUUCACAUGAGACUCUAAGGUAAAACAGCCAACAAGCAAACAAAAUAAAGCUUGUGGGUGAUAAAAUGGAAUUAAGCAUGAAAGCCUGUAGUGUGAAAGUAGGCCCAGUUUUAAUGUAAAACUGCUUAGAUCAUUUUGACUUUCACAUUAAGCUCUCAGCAGACCUCUACAGAAACAUUGCUUCUUGGUAUAAAACUUUGGAAAAGAUUAACACAGGGUAUCAGAGACGAGUAAUCUACAAUCAAGCUUUGCACUACUACGAGAUAGGCUUAAAUUGCUGCAACUCAGCAGGCAGCCUCGGCUGAAAGUUGAGUUGAGUUAAAUUGUGAAAAUGAUUUGCGGCCUUUUACGGCUGUUGAGUAAUAGUACAGCUGAAGAUUUUAAGUCAAAGCAGUGUCUGUCAAAAAGUAAGCCGUCUCCACACUGUAAAGAAUUUCACCAUAAAAAGUAAAUCGUGGUAGCAUAGACUCCUGUAUUUUACUGUUAUUUAUAGUGCAUGGACCGUGCUUCAUUUUAACAGUACAAAAACAUGAAUAGACUCCAGUAUUUUUUGAUAGUAAAUUCACAGGGUUUUACUGUAUUGAUUUUUUUUUUUUGUAUACAUCUUACCCACAAAUGAUAAGAAAUUAUACUAUUUAUGCAUAUAUCUACACAUAGAAAAUACAAAGUAAUGAAUAUUUUAUUCCACGGAGCUGUAAUUCAUUUCCCCUAAUGUCCACUAAUGCUAUUUGUUCAGCUGAGAACAAAACAGAUUAUUAAACAUGUGCCAUAAAUACAUUACAAUAUUACUAUCAAAACUAAUCUUAAACCUCUUGAGGGGUUGCUACAGCAUAAAAAAUUAAUACAUUUUAGCAAUUUAUUCUAGUGUCGUAUGUAUCUUGCAUUGCUACAACAAUCACUAGGAAGUCUGCAUCCUUUCAAAAACAAAAGCACAAUCAAUUAUAAAAAAAGGGGUUAUAGACCAUUAUGAACUUAAUGUAGUUAGAAAGGCAAAAUUAAAGUAUCACAUGGACUGUCUCAUUUUAAAGGUCUAACCAAAGUAGGUUAAUCAAUGCAGCCUUUACUAACACGUUUACAAGCUGAGGUAUAGAGAAUCAAGGAAAGCGUGUCAGAACUGCACCACGAUUUCAUCUUAAAAUGUAGCUUUUGUAAAUACACUGCUCAACAGUAAACGCUAAAAAGAGAAGUGGAAAAACAUACACCAGUGAUGCUUCCUUUAUUUAAUCUGUUUAGGGUUUAUUAAGAGAAAGGUCAUCACACAAAAAAGCAAUAAAUAAACAUUUAAAAAUAUUUAAAUGAAAUCUCCUUAAUGUCAUUGGUUUCAAGGCUGCUUUUUAAAAAAUUAAGUGUGUGAGCAGAGCUUAAUGGAUCUGAGGACAGGAAGCUCAGAGAAAGAUGUAAGGUCAUGUUUGUGAAGAAAUACCCUUGUGAUGUUGACAGGUUAAUAUUUGUGUCAUACAUGAAUAGAUGUAUGAGGAGGAAAAAUAGCUGAAAACAAGGUAAUAAACAGGAGUGACAAAUAAAUACAAACAUAGCUCACAAUAGACCUAUGUGUUGUUUUCACACAUUCAAAAAAGUGUUAAUUAAUACACUUGGUAGUGGUGGGAGGUUCGUUUGAGAGUUGACUUCAUUAAAAUUGAAUUAAUUAAUUUUUGUAUAUUGCCCACACUAAUCAUUACUUUCCACCACCAUCCAGGUUUCAGUUUUCAAAUCAGAUUGUACCUUUCAAUAGAGAUGUAAACCCUGUGUUCCAUCAGUCACCAUGGGAAACGUCAACUCUCUGCCCAACAAAAGCGUUGAGCUUGGAGAUAUUGGUGAAGACUUAGAAAGCAUACCGUGAGUGCCGCAUCCUUUGCUUUACUGAAACCUGGUUGAAUCAAAACAACUCGGAUUCAUUGUUGUUCUACCUUCACUCUCAUGAGGUCAGACAGAGAUGCUAAAGCUCGUGGCAAGAAGAAAGAAGAGGGGCUGGCUGGCAGUUAUGUGAUGAUGGAAAUCUUCACACAUAACUGUCAUGUAGAAGUUGUGUUGUCCAGAUAUUGAACUGUUGGCAGUUGCUCUUCAGCCAAAUUAUGUUCCAAGAGAAUUUAGUCAUUUCAUAAAAAUAUUUGUAUACAUCCCAACCAAGGCAAAGGCUUAAGUUCCUUGUAACGUUCCCUGUGAUACUGUUGCUAGGACACAGAUUCAACAUCCUGAGGCACUUGUGCUAAUAUCAGGAAACUUCAACCUGGAUUUACACAGUUUGUUAAUUGUCCUACCAGAGUAAACAAAAGCUUGGAUCUGUUGUAUGCAUUGAAAAGUAAAUAAAUGAAUUAAACAUUAUCAAGCUUGAUGUUUGUGCUAAGUUGGGCGAGUUUUUUGGGCAUAUGUGGGCCAUCAAACGUUAUUUAUUUGGACAAAAAGGAGGAGGGAAGGAAACAAGGAGGAAAGAAAGAUGGAAGGAAGGCAUAAAUCUUUCUUUUGGUUCCAGUAGGCGUCCUAAAAUAUUGAAUAUGAUUUUUUGAAAUCUGACUUUUAGGCUUAGUGAAGAGGUUUUUUAGUUUUCACAGGGAGGCACAACCUAUUGCCACUGCAGCGUGGCUCUGCUCUUGAACCUUUGUAAUUUUGAUGCUUGAUUCACCUUACAAUUUUUUUUUCUCUUUUGAUAUUCAUUUGAGCAUGGCCUGAUAUUUUUAGAGGGAGUUUCCAAAAAAAUACAGAGUGAAAUAAUUCUUCGUAGUAGCACAGGAGAUAAAAUAGAAGCAGUGGAGUGGAGAAGAACUCAAUCUUCUGAUGCCAUUCAUGUGACCAGCCAGGACUUGGCAGCCUCAUAUUCAAACUAAAUACAGUCUGGUAGGUCUUGUAUAAUGGAGCGUGACUGUGAAUGGAGACAGUUGACAGAUAAUGAAUGUGGGUAAGAGAGAGAGAGGAUGGAAGAAGGAGCAUCAUGAGCAAAAGAGGAAGUCAUUCCUUCACUUACAAGCUGGCAUUCAGUCACAACCGCUCGCUGACUUUUCACGCUCAUGCUUGAGUUAAAUGCACCAAGUGAAGGGGUGACCAGAGGGAACAAGGAUGAGAGAAAGAGGCUCAAACAGGAAAAGGCAGUUAGACUAUAGCGUGUGUAGCAGACUCUAGUAGAACUAGGAGUGUGUAAUAGAGGAAGCAUGAACAGCAAAAACCACAAAAAACAAUUGGAUUCAGUCAACCACUUGUGGACUUGUCAAAUUAAUAGUCAUGUUAAAUAUGGCUGCACAGGCAGCUCAUUGUAAAGACUGUCUACAGUAUCUGGGCCAUCAUAAAGAACCAUUAAGACUGGCUAAUAAAGAAAGUUCUCUCAGCCCAGAAAAUGAAGUCAUCAGAGCAGUUAGAGGAUGGCCUAAGGCGGGGAUGGAAAAGAAAAGACGGAAAAUGAAGGAAGUAAGUGGAGAUAAAGAGGGAGAGGGAGAAAAAAAAGUGUGCGUGUUUGCAGAAAAGAAAAGCAAGUGAAAGAACGAGAACAAACUGUCCCAGAGGACCACUCAUCCAGGAUCUAAUAUAGUCGUAUUCCCUCUGUAUGUCUGUUAAUUACUUCCUCUGUAGCCAUUACGGUGAGCAGUGUGGGCUGGUAGGAAUACCUGGAAAAUGAACUGCAAGCAGAGCGAACUGUAUCUGGGUUAAUUACUUUAUCUGCUAGUGCGACAAUGAAGAGCUCCAUUUCUUACUGAGUGCCUCAAGCUUAUGUUUAACAUGGCUGUAUGUCACAAAAUGAGGAUGAACUCAGGAAGUGUUAUAAAAUAUGAAAAUAAUAUAACCCCUUUUUAAAAUGAUUAUAGACUAAUGUUGAAUAAACUCCAUGGUGUCAGUCUAAUAACUGUAGUACUCUAAGUACUUUGUUCUCUAAUUAAACAGCUUCUGUAAAGGUUGGGGUAAAAAAUAACUGAGAUGUAUUUUUUUUUUUUCUUUUAAUAUUCACUCUGUUAGGGCUUAAGGCAAGUACUUAAUCCCAACAUCAAAUUGUUUAAAUUACGUUACUUUUUGCAGUACUUUUGCAGUACAGAUAAAUGUCAAGGUACCUCAAAGUUUAUGGAACUCAUGAAGUAUUUGUCAAAGCUAUAGACUGUAUAUACUGUGGACAACUUGGCUGCGCCUUCUGUCAUCAUACGAAUUUGAAGCCGAAUUGCUCUUGGUAUUUUCUGGAUUUUCACUGUAAAUUGCUGUGAUGCACUCGGCUCGUAUCCCCCAGAUGAUCUACGCAAUCCCUGAACGCCCAAAGGCUGUAUCAAGUGUCAAUCAUAGAAAACAUGAACCCCCUAAUGACUUUUAAAAAUGGAGCUGCACAGAAAAAAGAGGACUUGAGCACAAACCAGUCUUACUGUAACUACAUGUCAACAUCACAACCAGGGAGGAGAAAAAUGUAUAUUCAGUGUAAUUAAUUUCUAAAGUUUGUCCACAACUCCAUGGGGAUUGUUGGAGAAAGUGGGAUUUAUGACCUAUACUGCAGCCUGUCACCAGAGGGUGCUGUUCUCACGGUGGCGUCACCCAGCUAGGAGGCAGACAGUGUCCAUUCUAUAUACAUGGUCUAUGGUCAAAUAUCACAAACAACAGGAAGAAUUUAACAGAACAGUGAUUAAACACAUACCCAAAUCUAAACCAAGGAUCAAACUCGGCUACUUUACACAAAAUCUCAAAUGUAGAGAGCGAUGCGGUUGCUUUCACCUAUUAGUGGUUCAUCUUUAAGAGAUGUUUGCUGAGUAAUGGUUACCUUAAUUCCAUAACUACUUGAGGUAACUAGAAAUCUGUCUUUUCCAAUCGCUCUACUGAUGCAAUAGACUAACCUCACUACCCACUUGAUUCAACAACUGACUGCUGUCUCAUAAAUGAAACUUUUUGCUCUUCCAUAGGUUGGAUGUAGUAGAGUUGUGAAAAAAAGAUGUGCUGUGACUAUUUCUAUACAGAGCACCAAAGAGACUAUGAGAGAGUUCUCUGAGCUUUUGUUUCCUGCAUUGAAACUUGUACAAGACACAAGAUGCAAACUCUUCAUGAGAAUUCUUCACUUUGUAGGACUGGCCUCAGUCUCUGUUAGCUGUUUUGUUUGAGUGAGAGUGACACAACAGCUGCCAGUACAGAAACUGAUAAAAAGGUUGAGAACUUUUCACAGGACAUGCUGAGAGAGCACCCAGAAUAGCAAAGCUGGCACACUAGUAUCCCUGCUUAGCAAGGUGCCAUUUGAGCGAAGGGAUUCUGCUUAUAGACUUAUGGUGGGAACCAGUUGUGCUCCUUACUGACACCUGUCCAGGUAGGCAGAAAACUGAACAUUGUGAGUCUGGUGGAUAGGUUCUGAAUAAAAGGCAAAAAGACAGACUGCCUUCUGAUGUUUCCUGUAGGAAGCCAUUCACUUUCAUCCAAGGGCUAAUUGACCUUGUUCAAGUGCUGCUGAAACACCAGUUCCCUCUUGAUACUAACACUGCAUCCAAGGAAUAGUUCCACCAAAGAUAGCUGGGAUUGAUUUGUAAUUUUCUCCUAUUUUUCAUAUCUUUCUGUAAAACUGUCACAAAGCAGUGCGAGGAUGUGUGUACAUUUAGUAUGUGUAUCAUAAAUUCAAAGCCAAUACUUUUGCCAUCUUGGGGGGAUUCUGUUGACAAUUCUAGUGGUUUUCAUCAAACCGGGCUGGUUGAUGUAAGCUCUGUCAUUUAGCGACAUGCUUUCUUGCUCUCAUCAGUCACAUACAAUUAGCCGACAUUCAUCACUCCCUCUCUCUCUGCAACUAACCCCCUACCAAGUGGCUUGUGCUGGCCUCCAUACGUCUUUCCUCCCUCAUCCUCUCCCUGUCAUUGACAAUUGAUCUCAUAUACAACAAUGUGCUGACGGCAAUCUCCACUGUGCACGACAUGAAAGAGUGUGAGCAUGAAAGAGCGAGCUGUAACAGAGGGAGAGUAGGAGUUUGCUCUAACAAUACCACGCUUUAUUAAAAUGUCAAACACAAAGGACUAACAGAAAAAAAGGGAUAUUACUUGUACCAGAAGCAUAUUAGGCAGAAGUAGAAUUCUUGGAGUGAGAUAAAAAUGUCAGUAGAACAGAACUGAUUCUCACCUACUAUGUAAAAGCUUGCUGGUAUGAUCACAUGCCUUAAAAAAAAAGGUGAUAGACUGCUUUCACAGGUUAAAUGAAAUUAGAUCAAGAAUGUUUUUUAUCCCUGUUUCACCGAAUUGAGUCGCUGAACAUUGAAACUGGUCGAGGCUGAAUUCAGCUGCUUUGAUUGGUUUCCACAGAAAAGAAAAAAAAGAUAAUCAAUACCCUACAUGGUGUUGCUAUAGUUGAAGAUAAUAUUCACCCUUUUGUUGAAGAUAAGGAUGCUACAUUUUAUAAAGUAGUCCCAUCAACACGGAUAGCAUGGACAAAAAAAAGUUAAUUUUGACAGCUAUUCUAGAUUUAGUCCUAGUCUUAAUUUUUGGGCUAAAAUUACCUUCAGCUAACCUCAUUUUGUAGUCAUUUUUGCCCUUGAUAGUUUUAGUCAAGUUCAAGUAAAGAAAAAUUUCAAAGCAGUAACUUUACUUAAAGACCCACUCUGGUGAAAUCUUUUUGAAUUUUUUGUCUACAUGUUCAUAUGAAAUUUUUCUGAAGGUACAGGACAUAUCAAGAAAAAUGAGUGUGAAAUUACAUUUCUGAGUAUUUCUGCAUUCAUAUCCCUGUGAAUCUCUGGCAGACUCAAACAGCAGGCUGAGAUACAGUGAGAUUUCCUAUGAAGCAAAUCCAAGCUCCACCCCCCGAAGCCCCGCUAUGCAGGCCAGACUAAGAGAAAUAGAGAGAAUGAUCUCGGAACAAGAGUGUGCAUUAGAGGAUUGCAAUGCUUGUAAGAAAGCUAAUUAUGAUAUUAACUUUCACCAUGUGCCCAAAGAUAUGUGUCUGAGAGCUGAAUAGCUACUAUGUUACCUGCUACUUCUACUACACCAACAAUGUUAGGCUGCAAGCUAGCAUGAAGAGGAGUGUGCAGAGCAGUGCUGUCUCCACCCACAACUCAGAGGCAUAGUGCUAAUGAGCUACUAGAGCUCUGCAGAAGAAAAGCCCUGGAGAACAACACAGGUGACGUGAUUUUGGCUAAAAACGUUAUCAUCACAAUUUAAAGACCACUGAAAACACUGUAAGAUGUUUAAAAAAAAAAAAAAAUAGAUCGGAGUUGGACUUUGAUGUUUUUAUAUGGAAUUAACAUGGCAGAAAAUAUAAGAAGAAAAAUCAAGCUUUAUUGAUUUCUCUAGCAACUUGUCUGAAUCAUUUCAUUACCACACUAUACUUGCUUGGGGUCUCUACUAAAAAAGAACUGUUCAAAUGGACAUAAAUGUUUUUUUUUUUUAAGGAUAGAACACCCAUUUUAAUUGGAAAAUGUGGCUUUACGUGAAAACAGCUAAGAACUCUGGAUAAAAAGGCACAUUUCCAAGGUUUCCAAAGUGAAUUAAAUGCAACAAUGCUCUAAAACUGAAGUAUUGGGUGCUAUUACUGCAAAUAAAGGCAUCAGCAGACAUAGGCCAUAAGCCAUUUGUUUUUUUAGCUAACAAUGCUUCUAAUUUUGGAAAGUAGAUGAGAAGCAUAAAUGGCCUUGGACUGGCAGUGAUCAACAGGCCACCAACUAUGCAACCUGUCAAUCAAGAUGGACACAGAUCUAGUUGUUUGAACAUUGUCAAGCAUGGCUCCAAAGCUUAAAGAUGGCAACCACAAGGUCAGUCUAAAACAGUAAUCCACCAAUUAGUGGCUGAUGUAAAUGAGGCAAUAACACCUUUUCAUAUUUGGCUUGUGAUACAAACAUAAAUUUUAUUCAGAAUAUAGACAGAACAUGACUACAAAAUUAGCUGGCAGUACUAAAAGCAUGAGUUCAUGCAAUUCGAUCACAAGUUUUGGUGACUAAGCUGUAUAAAAAAAAAAACUUAUUUGCUUUUCAGAGCCACUGCUGAGGUGAAAAAAAUAAAGCUCUCCCCAUAAAUGUAAUAAAUAAAUGACAAGAGAUUGUGAGGGAGUACUUAGCCUGAUUUGAAAACCCAACCAAUUAAGUAAUAAGACCUUGGGAACUUGUGCCUGCUGUUCUCUUACCAAAGCAAGGUGUGCUGUAUGAGUAGACUGCAGAAACACGACUUUCGCACAAAGCAGAAAUGUGGAAAUGAGAAUGUGUGAGGCAGACAACAUGGAAUGAAAACAUUGAAAGUUUUGAACUUUUGGGGGUUUCUGGGAACUUUUCUUCCCUCUUGAUUUCUCUUCCAGCAGGGAAGAAAAAAAAUCACAAGCCAGUAUUUUUUUCUUGAGUCUCCAACACAUCACAGAGAUAAUAAAUAGUACAGGGACAUGUUAAUGGAGCAAGUCAGGAUGUUGGCAAAGUCUAUGGAAAGCAAUCAUCCCAUCUGAUAAAAAUACAACAAAGUUUAAAAAGUAAAAUACAUAUGGCGCUUUCUCUCUUCAUCUUUGUUUCUUUACGUGACGCACCCCCCUGUUGUUCAGUGUCUUCCUACAUCACUCCGUCUCUAUACUGUUGAAAAAGAAAAGGGAUCAGGAGACUAGGAACUGUCUACCAUCUUUAAAGUACAAAAACAAAGUCAACAAAUGCACAUUCACAAGCUUAUACAGGCACACAGACACAAAUAGACAUAACCACAUGAUGUCUCACUGUACAGACAGAAAAGAACAAACUCCUCUCUCUUUACCUUGAAAGCACACAUCAUCCUUCAGCCCAAUUUUCACAUCACAGUAAAGGCAAGUUUUUGUGUGUUUUUAUCUUGGAAGAUUUUACACAUAUACAAUAUGUACGAGUUUUCCUACAAUAGCAGAACCCUAUAGUACAUGCUGUUUUAUCCUUUGUUAGGUUAUUAUGCAGUUUUCUAGUGAGCCUCAGCCUUACAGGAAAAAGAAACACUGAAGUAUCCAGAGAAGGAAACUUGAUAGUUAAUCCAGUACGGGGGAAAAAAAGCACUGCCAUAAUGGUACAAUUGACCCUGCCCACUUAAGUUACUGUUACUAACGCGGACAAACAACCAGAGCUGAGCAGAGGAAGAACAAAAGGAAGAUUGAAUGACAGGUGUGUACCAGCAGCAGAGUCAGCACAGGUUCCAAUUAACUAUUUUUUUAUAAGCCAUUUGUAGAAAUGAACACUGAAACGGCCCCAAUAUUUGGCCAAAGUGAUAAUCCACUCACCCCUAAUUUUCACAGAUUUUACCCAGAUUAAUCUAAAGAAGUAGGAACAGCAGUUAAUAAAAUAAUGCAUUCAAACAUAUCUGUGCCGUCCCAUGAAAAACACAUAUCUCCACUUUUAGCGAUCUGGACAUUUGACAAUAUAUGCAUGGUCCAAACAACCUAACCUUUCCUAACAACCCGUAGCUUUGGUCAUUCAAAUGACUGAUGGAAAGACCUUUUAUAAAAUCAUCUUUUCAACAAGUAUCGCCAUUGGGUGUCAGACGUGUUGACAAAACACGUAUAUCCCGCCCUGGCCCUGCGUUGUCAUGUCAGCAAACAGACUUUACACUGUGACAGACUCUUUACAGUAGGGUGACCAUAUGUCCUCUUUUACCUGGACAUGUCCUCUUGUGGGGGGCUGUCCAAGGAGAGGGGGAGUUUAUAAAACCCUUCAACUGUACUUUCCCUUCACAUCACAGACCACUGUAUUUACCAUACACGUUCAAUGGCUCAUUUGGAAACACACUCUAAGACACCAAACCCCGGAACGGAGUUCAGCGCAGUUCCCUCUGCUGCUCUGAUUCACUCCUAGCUCCUAUUGGUCCUAUGCCUAUAGAGCGCCUUAUUUAAAACUGCACUAACCCAGCCUCUUCCUCUGCUUCGACAGCUAACCAGCAAGCUGCUGCAACCGUUCUGCAUGCUCCCACUUUUAAGAACACUCAGAUCUGCGUUUUUGCUUUUUUACUACCUUGCUCUUCAUCAUGUCGAUCGCUGCCCACGACAAGGAUCCAUGGCAGAAUGAAUGCUUUUCUAAAACGCAACAUCAGCAAUGCAAAAUCGAGGAAGACUGUCCUUGCAAUAACAGCUGCAUUCCCUUCAGGAGGAGUUCUCCUCUGCAAAGUAAAACUUCUAUUUCUCCCAGCUUCAAUGAGCGGCCGGAGUCUAGGCUCCUGGAAGUCCUUUAAAAAUAACAUCACAGCUCCAGAUGGUGUCUCACAUCAAGAGCUUUCACCUUGUUUAUGGAAAAUAUCCACAUAGAUCCUCCACUUGCAGUUCUCUCUUCCUCCUCUGUAUCCAGAAAAGAGACAGAGAAAAGAAAACACUGUUCCCGCAGCGUCACAGCAGUUCCAGCCUCAGCCGCCGUGUCAUCGCCUUCAUCCGCAGAGCGCGAGGCCCAAACCCAGCUAUCAAACCUGCAGACCUGGAUGACAAUCCCAUCCUGAAAGCACUAUCCAGCAUCCAGCCAUCGCUCACCCACAUGUCUUCAAUGAUUGAAGCCUCAGAAUCCGGUUUAGCUCAUGCUAAGCUGUCUUCCUUCAUCCCAGCUGUCACCUGCAUUCACAGCGCUGAAAUAAAUAAAUACAUUUUUGACAAAGUGUUCCUGACUGAAAUGAAUAUAUCGUUUAUAAAUGCAACUUCGUGUGAGUAUUAUUCAGUGUCAGCAAGAGGCUUGGUUAAGUGUCCUUUUGGUCGUUCAGAAUAUGCGGUUAACUGAGUUAGGAGCCGAUAAAACACUUGACCUGACCUGGAGAACCCUAAAAAAGUUGCACACACAACUCCGCCCGGCAUAGUAGUGUCCUCUUUUUGGGGAUUCAGAAUAUGGUCACCCUACAUUAGAGUCCAGGGUAAUGCUACACUGAUGUCCUCGCAUCGACUGAUGCUGACCUUAAACGUCAUUGGAGCACAUUAUUGAAAAAAAACAAACAAAAAAAAAAACACGCAUGUCCACUAUCACUCAAAACACAAAGCAUGUAAGUCUGUUUAAAAUAUCAAACAGGUCACUGAUGACUGUGUAAAUAUGGAUUUUGAUUUCAGGUCCUACUUGUGUCUAAUUAAGGCGUUUGGGUUUUUCUCUCUAAGGUAGUUUAUGAUUGAAAAUGUUUUUUAAUGUUCCUGAAAACAAACAAACAAAAAAAAAAAAUCACAUUUUGGAGAUACAUUUUUUUUAUCGGACAGUGUAGAUAUGCUCGGUAAACUCCGUGAGCUCAUGUCUCAGUACCAAAACCAGGCCUCUGAAACCAAAUUUGAAAGUAUACUUAAGACCACUUGCAAUGUGACACACAUGGACUAUUGUCAAACCUGAAGUGCCUGAAUGACACAAGAGCCGUAAAAGAACAGCCUCUUCCAGCUUUGAUUUUGUCUGGUUCCUGAGUAGAGCUCUGCACUGUGUCUUGACAGCAAAAUUGUUUUCAGAGACAAAUGAUGGUACUCUGUUUCUCAUGCUUCAAUGUAGAAAGCUUUGUCUCCAGUGUUCCACACUGGUGCUGCCAUUGUUACCACAGCAACAAAUGCAUAUUAGCAUCUUCCACAAAAAUCUUUCUGAUCACUGUCAAAAUACAGCAGGGAAGUUUUGUUUGAAAGAUGUAUGACUGGCAUGAAUCUGAUUUUAUGGAAAUCAAUACAAAGCCACAUUGUCUGGACUUAGAAUGGGAUAAUACAAAUGUGGACUUGUGUAUUUAAAAUGAAAUAAUCUUUGUUUAAAUCUUAAAUUAAUCCACUGAUUGACUUCACUCAUGGCUGAGAUUAUCUAGUAUUUGCAGCCACCUGGGUCUGACUCCCCAAAUGUGUGUGAACAUGAAAAUGCAAUGAAACAAGGUUUUUCUUCCCACAAAUGAAUCAUCAAGUAACUAACUGAACAAACUUAGUCACAAAAGCAUUUUUUCUUUUUCUUUUUUUUUUUAAUUGGUCAAUAAGCAUUAUCAUAGUCUGGUGUCCUGAGAAUCAACCUUGAACAUACUCAGCUUAUUUUUUUGACCAUUGUGUGCAGUAUUCAUUUGGAGGCUCUUGUGGCUUUGCUCUGCCCAAACAGGACACGCCACAAUUCUCCUAAGCACUAUGCAUGACAAAUUCUAACACACAAUUGAAUGCCUGAAUGAACACGAAACCUAAUCUUGCAUAGCCAGACGUCUGCCUCAUCAAGUUCAGUGAGUCUGGAGAAACUGAGGCACAAAAGUUGGUUAAAAAGAGCAGGGACACAGUGAGCUGUCUUUGUAACUUAUACCAGUAAAAAAGAAAAAAUAAUACAAAGAACUUGUUUGUCCACAAACCAAAACCAAUCAAAGGUGCAGUUUCUUCAAGAAUAGUGAAGGUAAUAGAUGGGAAAGGACAGUGAAGACUGGACAAACUACUGAAACUUGACAGGAGCAUGACAUUUGGGGAAGAAAAAGGCUCUGACAAAAAAGGAAAGUAAUGAGCCUGUCUGACAGCUUGGUCUAUUUGGGAGGUCAGGAGGUCGAGUUUUGACACAUAAUUCAUCUUCCAAUAGUUACAAGCAUCAGUUAUGGGUUUAUUUUUGACAUUUUGUUUAACAUCCAUAGAAGUAAUGGGCUAGGGGAAAAAAAAACACUUUUGUCGCAGUUGGUGUUUUUUUUUUUUUUUUCCAAUCCUGUGUCCAUCGUGAACUCAAUAUCAAUUCUAGCAUCACGUCAGUGCUCUGGACUGAGCUGUUGCAUUGCAAUAGUAAAGAGAACAUGAAAAAAAGCGGUCAAGUAUCUGAAUUCAGAAAUGUUCUGAUACUACCUUACCUUUCUGAAACCAAUUUCAAUCUCAAGACUUGAGAGUUGGCAGAUAUACCCCUCCAAUACCAGAGGGAUAAAAAAAGAUAAUAUCAGUGAAAAGUACUUACUGCUGCUGACACAGUACAAGGAUCACGUCCAUUGGUUCUCAUCUUUGGACGAAAACAUGGAAAAUGACCAAUAUGACUUUGGAGCACAGUAAAAUUUCAUAGCUACCUCAAGUCACCACCACAUCACCAUCCUUAAAGACUGACCACUGCUGGCUCACUUCACACACACACACACACACACACACGCACACACACACACACACACACACACACACACACACACACACACACACACACACACACACACACAGUGCUGUGGUUUACAGUAGCUUUGUGUUGUGGUUUAGUUUUCUUCAGUUUGGUUGAUGGCUCUUUAACUUAGCCUCUUGUGCACUUGAACAUCCUGAUAUAAGAGGUCUUGUAUCUUCCAAAAAAUUGAAAGUGAAAUGUUGUUUAAACAUGUUUCCAUUGUUUUCUACCAAUCAGAGAUGGGAAUUGAGAGACAGCUCCAACUUGUCCAAGCCAUCAAUAUCAUUUGGCUUUAUGCUCCUUGUUUCCCUUCUCAAUGCCUUCCUUUUAAUUGAGUUUGCCUUGCAAGACAUUGGCAUGACAUAUUGCAAGAAAUAUCUCUGGGGUUACACUCUGUGUUAUUUGUGUUAUCCAGCCAGGGGCGUUUUUUUUUUUUAAAUUUUUAUCCAUAGUGAUACUCAGCAUUUUUAGAGUCCAAAUCCAACCCCUCAGAAACCAAAGUAAUCUGAGGUGAUUUAUGUCUCUAUUUUGGUAAAUUAGUGUCAUUUCUGUUGUUAGCUGACUAUACUAGAUAGAGGCUACCAUCUUUGUUUUGGUUUGUCAUUUAAUCAGAGGCUGUAUAGGCAGAGAUCCGGUCAAAACCAGGCUUUUCUGUCUCAGCAGAGCAUCAAAAUGUAACAUGUUGAAAACCUUCAUAGGCCUACUCUUCUAGGGAGUCAAACAAGAACUGGAUUGAAGAGCAACAUUUUGAUCGAUCAGAACCAUGUACUAAACACAGCAUUUUUUUUUUGUUUGUUUGUUUCAAAUGAAACUUCAUAUGUUUGGUAUGUGAUGAUUGAACGGGAUAAUAAGUCGAAUAUUCAUACCUUCUACAGUGAAGACUCGUCACUGUUAUUCUUGGGAUUUCUGUUGGAUUUCUAGACUCUGCGUCAUAGUUAUGACAUGAGGACUCUUUUGGAGAGCAGUGGCAUAGUGAGGGGGAGACAAGCAAGAGAGGGAUGGGAAGAGGCAGAGUGAGCUGCAGAAAGAGAAAAGAUAAGAGUAUUUAGCCCAUUAUUUCCAGGGGCUAGGUCAAAAUGAAUAAGAGUCAGUGAGAGAAUGAAAAGUCUUCUUCAAAGAGCCAAGAAGACUUGGCUAUUAUUCUGCGUCUGAAAAGUGACACUCCACUCUAAGUGCUCUGCUUUAGGAUGGCCUUGGGAGGUUAGGACCAUGAAUGUCAAAGUUGAUUUCACACUCUGUAACUCUCUGGACUGUCUGAUAGAUGUGGCAGCUGUGAGCACAUAUACACACUGACAUAGGACAAUACACACAAAUGUCUGUAAGCAAAUACCGCGUGCACAAAUUUACAGGCAUGCAUGAGAAUAUUUACAGAGGGGAAGGCAAACAGGGAUGCUUUUAUGCAUCGUCAUAUAAUCUGGUAUGGGCAGUAACACAUGCACGUCUUCAUAUUACACACAUGCAUCAAGUAAAUGCUGUCCUGCUGCCACAAAAAAGAACAGAACCCUAAAGCAAGCUGAGACAAGUUGGUUUU